Molecule: ribosomal RNA, 503 nt
Filed under: uncultured Glomus
Lineage: Eukaryota; Fungi; Glomeromycota; Glomeromycetes; Glomerales; Glomeraceae
Description: SSU rRNA
Rfam family: Eukaryotic small subunit ribosomal RNA
Source: RNAcentral
AGCAGCCGCGGUAAUUCCAGCUCCAAUAGCGUAUAUUAAAGUUGUUGCAGUUAAAAAGCUCGUAGUUGAAUUUCGGGGUUAGCAGGUCGGUCGUGCCAAUGGUAUGCACUGGCCUUGCUGAUUCCUCCCUCUUGAUGAACCGUAAUGCCAUUAAUUUGGUGUUGCGGGGAAUCAGGACUGUUACUUUGAAAAAAUUAGAGUGUUUAAAGCAGGCAAGCGCUUGAAUACAUUAGCAUGGAAUAAUGAAAUAGGACGUUUGAUCCUAUUUUGUUGGUUUCUAGGAUUGACGUAAUGAUUAAUAGGGAUAGUUGGGGGCAUUAGUAUUCAAUUGUCAGAGGUGAAAUUCUUGGAUUUAUUGAAGACUAACUACUGCGAAAGCAUUUGCCAAGGAUGUUUUCAUUAAUCAAGAACGAAAGUUAGGGGAUCGAAGACGAUCGGAUACCGUCGUAGUCUUAACCAUAAACUAUGCCGACUAGGGAUCGGAUGAUGUUAAUUUUUAAUGA